This 493-nucleotide ribosomal RNA is filed under the name uncultured bacterium. Its description in RNAcentral is "partial 16S ribosomal RNA". It matches the Rfam family "Bacterial small subunit ribosomal RNA", at positions 30 to 523 of the family's 1533-position model. The record is from RNAcentral.
AUUGAACGCUGGCGGAAUGCUUUACACAUGCAAGUCGAACGGUAACAGGUUAAGCUGACGAGUGGCGAACGGGUGAGUAAUACAUCGGAACGUGCCCAGUCGUGGGGGAUAACGUAGAGAAAUUUACGCUAAUACCGCAUACGAUCUAAGGAUGAAAGCGGGGGACCAUAAGGCCUCGCGCGAUUGGAGCGGCCGAUGUCAGAUUAGGUAGUUGGUGGGGUAAAGGCCUACCAAGCCGACGAUCUGUAGCUGGUCUGAGAGGACGACCAGCCACACUGGGACUGAGACACGGCCCAGACUCCUACGGGAGGCAGCAGUGGGGAAUUUUGGACAAUGGGCGCAAGCCUGAUCCAGCCAUUCCGCGUGCAGGAUGAAGGCCCUCGGGUUGUAAACUGCUUUUGUACAGAACGAAAAGGUCUGGGUUAAUACCCUGGGCUCAUGACGGUACUGUAAGGAUAAGCACCGGCUAACUACGUGCCAGCCGCCGCAGUAA